ACUCAAAGGAAUUGACGGGGGCCCGCACAAGCGGUGGAGCAUGUGGUUUAAUUCGAAGCGACGCGAAAAACCUUACCAGGUCUUGACAUGUAGGGAAGUCUGGUGAAAGCCGGAUGUGCCCGCAAGGGAGCCCUAACACAGGUGCUGCAUGGUCGUCGUCAGCUCGUGUCGUGAGAUGUUGGGUUAAGUCCCGCAACGAGCGCAACCCCUAUCCCUAGUUGCCACCGGUUCGGCCGAGCACUCUAGUGAGACUGCCUACGAAAGUAGGAGGAAGGCGGGGAUGACGUCUGAUCCGCAUGGCCCUUACGACCUGGGCCACACACGUGCUACAAUGGCUGCCACAAAGCGCUGCGACUCAGCAAUGAGAAGCCAAUCGCAUAAAAGCAGCCUCAGUUCAGAUUGGAGUCUGCAACUCGACUCCAUGAAGCUGGAAUCGCUAGUAAUCGCAGAUCAGCUACGCUGCGGUGAAUACGUUCCCGGGCCUUGUACACACCGCCCGU
RNAcentral lists this ribosomal RNA (500 nucleotides) under uncultured bacterium. Its description in RNAcentral is "partial 16S ribosomal RNA". It matches the Rfam family "Bacterial small subunit ribosomal RNA", at positions 899 to 1397 of the family's 1533-position model. The record is from RNAcentral.